Molecule: transfer RNA, 66 nt
Filed under: Vestalis melania
Lineage: Eukaryota; Metazoa; Arthropoda; Insecta; Odonata; Calopterygidae
Description: tRNA-Ile
Source: RNAcentral
AAUAAGAUGCCUGACUUAAGGGCCACCUUGAUAGGGUGGAACAUGUGGUAACAACCACUCUUAUUA